CAACGAACUCUGGUAUUGAUUGGUGCUUGCAUCAUGAUUUACAUUUGAGUGAGUGGCGAACUGGUGAGUAACACGUGGGAAACCUGCCCAGAAGCGGGGGAUAACACCUGGAAACAGAUGCUAAUACCGCAUAACAACUUGGACCGCAUGGUCCGAGCUUGAAAGAUGGCUUCGGCUAUCACUUUUGGAUGGUCCCGCGGCGUAUUAGCUAGAUGGUGGGGUAACGGCUCACCAUGGCAAUGAUACGUAGCCGACCUGAGAGGGUAAUCGGCCACAUUGGGACUGAGACACGGCCCAAACUCCUACGGGAGGCAGCAGUAGGGAAUCUUCCACAAUGGACGAAAGUCUGAUGGAGCAACGCCGCGUGAGUGAAGAAGGGUUUCGGCUCGUAAAACUCUGUUGUUAAAGAAGAACAUAUCUGAGAGUAACUGUUCAGGUAUUGACGGUAUUUAACCAGAAAGCCACGGCUAACUACGUGCCAGCAGCCGCGGUAAUACGUAGGUGGCAAGCGUUGUCCGGAUUUAUUGGGCGUAAAGCGAGCGCAGGCGGUUUUUUAAGUCUGAUGUGAAAGCCUUCGGCUCAACCGAAGAAGUGCAUCGGAAACUGGGAAACUUGAGUGCAGAAGAGGACAGUGGAACUCCAUGUGUAGCGGUGAAAUGCGUAGAUAUAUGGAAGAACACCAGUGGCGAAGGCGGCUGUCUGGUCUGUAACUGACGCUGAGGCUCGAAAGUAUGGGUAGCAAACAGGAUUAGAUACCCUGGUAGUCCAUACCGUAAACGAUGAAUGCUAAGUGUUGGAGGGUUUCCGCCCUUCAGUGCUGCAGCUAACGCAUUAAGCAUUCCGCCUGGGGAGUACGGCCGCAAGGCUGAAACUCAAAGGAAUUGACGGGGGCCCGCACAAGCGGUGGAGCAUGUGGUUUAAUUCGAAGCUACGCGAAGAACCUUACCAGGUCUUGACAUACUAUGCAAAUCUAAGAGAUUAGACGUUCCCUUCGGGGACAUGGAUACAGGUGGUGCAUGGUUGUCGUCAGCUCGUGUCGUGAGAUGUUGGGUUAAGUCCCGCAACGAGCGCAACCCUUAUUAUCAGUUGCCAGCAUUAAGUUGGGCACUCUGGUGAGACUGCCGGUGACAAACCGGAGGAAGGUGGGGAUGACGUCAAAUCAUCAUGCCCCUUAUGACCUGGGCUACACACGUGCUACAAUGGAUGGUACAACGAGUUGCGAACUCGCGAGAGUAAGCUAAUCUCUUAAAGCCAUUCUCAGUUCGGAUUGUAGGCUGCAACUCGCCUACAUGAAGUCGGAAUCGCUAGUAAUCGCGGAUCAGCAUGCCGCGGUGAAUACGUUCCCGGGCCUUGUACACACCGCCCGUCACACCAUGAGAGUUUGUAACACCCAAAGUCGGUGGGGUAACCUUUUAGGAACCA
This 1422-nucleotide ribosomal RNA is filed under the name Lactiplantibacillus plantarum. RNAcentral's name for it is "bacterial SSU rRNA". It matches the Rfam family "Bacterial small subunit ribosomal RNA". Lineage: Bacteria; Bacillati; Bacillota; Bacilli; Lactobacillales; Lactobacillaceae. The record is from RNAcentral.